RNAcentral lists this ribosomal RNA (253 nucleotides) under uncultured bacterium. Its description in RNAcentral is "partial 16S ribosomal RNA". It matches the Rfam family "Bacterial small subunit ribosomal RNA", at positions 524 to 776 of the family's 1533-position model. The record is from RNAcentral.
UACGAAGGGGGCUAGCGUUGCUCGGAAUCACUGGGCGUAAAGCGCACGUAGGCGGAUUUCUAAGUCGGGGGUGAAAUCCUGGAGCUCAACUCCAGAACUGCCUUCGAUACUGGAAGUCUUGAGUCCGGGAGAGGUGAGUGGAACUGCGAGUGUAGAGGUGAAAUUCGUAGAUAUUAGCAGGAACACCGGUGGCGAAGGCGGCUAUCUGGACGACAACUGACGCUGAGGCGCGAAAGCGUGGGGAUCAAACAGG